RNA transcript from Mandrillus leucophaeus (drill), 2134 nucleotides. It is a transcript of the gene named ATP-dependent RNA helicase DDX3Y-like, with no coding region annotated. NCBI's taxonomy places the organism in Eukaryota, Metazoa, Chordata, Mammalia, Primates, Cercopithecidae. The record is from RefSeq and is a predicted model, not a curated record. The transcript is spliced from 2 exons.
CAAAGCUUGAAGACUGGCCCUUUGAGCUAACCCAGUGGUGUGGGGGUGGGGGAAAAUAAAUAAAUAAUUUUUUAAAAUGAACAAACUAGGAUAUUUUGUCUCAUACUUACAGUGGACGACCUUGAUUUUCCACUUCUUUUCAGGGAUGAGUCAUAUGGUGAUAGAAAAUGCCCUCGACCUGGAGGAGCAGUUUGCUCAUCUGGACCUGAACGCCUCUGAUAAACAGAGUGGAGGAGGAAGUACAGCAAGCCAAGAGUGCUAUAUACCUCCUCACUUAAGGAACAAGGAAGCAUCUAAAGGAUUCUAUGAUAAAGACAGUUCAGGUUGGAGUUGUAGCAAAGAUAAGGAUGCAUAUAGCAGUUUUGGGUCUCGAGUUUCAAGAGAAAAGCCUGGUUAUUUCAGUGAUUAUGGAAGUGGAUCAAGGGGAAGAUUUGAUGAUCCUGGAUGGAGUGACUAUGAUGGUAUUGGCAGUCAUGGUGACAGAACUGGCUUUGGCAAAUUUGAACGGAGUGGACACAGUCCGAUAAAGAUUAUUGGUCAAAACCGCUUCCACCAAGUGAAUGCUUGGAGUAGGUACUCUUUUCUGGAGGAAACACUGGGAUUAACUUUGAGAAAUGUGAUGACAUACCAAUAGAGGCAACCAGCAGUAACUGUCUUCCACAUAUUGAAAAUUUCAGCAAUGUUGACAUGGGAGAAAUUAUCAUGGGGAACAUUGAGCUUCUUACUCACUAUACUCAUCCUACUCCACUGCAAAAACAUGCCAUUCCUAUUAUUAGGGGAAAAAGAGACUUAAUGGCUUGUGCCCAAGCAGGGUCUGGGAAAACUGCAGCAUUUCUUUUACCCGUACUGAGUCAGAUAUAUAUAGAUGGUCCAGGAAAAGCUUUGAAGGCUGUGAAGGAAAAUGGAAGGUAUGGGUGCCAUGAACAAUACCCAAUCUCCUGGGUUUUAGCCCCAACAAGAGAAUUGGCUGUACAGAUAUGAGGAAGCCAGAAAAUUUUCAUACCAGUGUAGAGUUCAUCCUUGUGUAGUUUAUGGUGAUGCUGAUAUUGGUCAACAAAUUCAAGUCUUGGAACAUGGAUGCCACUUGUUAGUAGCCAUGCCAGGACGUCUAGUGGAUUUGAUGGAAAGAGGAAAGAUUGGAUUAGACUUCUGCAAAUACUUAGUGUUGGAUGAAGUUGAUAGGAUGUUGGAUACGGGAUCUGGACCUCAGAUACAUUGUAUACUUGAACAAGAUACUAUGCCACCAAAGGGCAUUCAUCACAUCAUGAUGUUUAGUGCCACUUUUCCUAAGGAAAUACGAUGCUUGCUCGUGACUUUUUGGAUGAAUAUGUAUUUUUGGCUGUAGGCAGAGUAGGCUCUACCUCUGAAGUAGUUUGGGUGGAAGUAGUUUGGGUGGAAGAGCCAGAUAAACGGUCAUUUCUGCUUGAUCUCUUAAAUGCACCAGGGAAGGAUUCACUGACUUUAGAGUUUGUGGAGACAAAAAAGGGAGCAGAUUCUCUGGAGAAUUUCUUAUACCAUGAAAUAUAUCCUUGUACUAGUAUUCAUGGAGACCAAUCACAGAGAGAUCAAGACGGAGGCCCUUCACCAGUUUUCCUUGGGGAAAAGUCCAAUUCUAGUGGCUACAGCUGUGGCAGCAUGAAGACUAGACAUUUCAAAUGUGAAACAUGCUUCAAUUUUGAUUUGCCAAGUGAUAUUGAAGAAUAUGUGCCUUGUAUUGGCUGUACAGGAUGUGUGGGAAACCAGGGCCUUGCCGUCUCAUUCUUUAAUGAAAGAAAUAUGAAUAUUACAAAGGAUUUGCUGGAUAUUCUUGUAGAAUUUAAACAAGAAGUACCUGCUUGAUUGGAAAACAUAGCUGAUAAACACCACUACAAGGGUGGUAUUCGUGCAUGAUCUAAAAGAUUCAGUGGAGCAUUUGGUGCCAGAGACUAUUGACAACGUAGUGGUUCCAGCAGUUCUGGCUUUAGUAGUAGUCAUACAAGCAGCAGCUGCAGUGGUGGAGGUGGUCAUGACAUCAGCAGCAGAUGUGGUAGAGGUGGCUAUGGAGGCUUCUACAACAGUGAUGGAUGUGUAGGAAAUUAUAACUCUUGUUAUAAGAGUUACUAAGAGCCAGGCGUGGUGGCUCACGCCUGUAAUC